This 422-nucleotide ribosomal RNA is filed under the name uncultured beta proteobacterium. Its description in RNAcentral is "bacterial SSU rRNA". It matches the Rfam family "Bacterial small subunit ribosomal RNA", at positions 9 to 437 of the family's 1533-position model. The record is from RNAcentral. Lineage: Bacteria; Pseudomonadati; Pseudomonadota; Betaproteobacteria.
GAGUUUGAUCCUGGCUCAGAUCGAACGCUGGCGGCAUGCUUUACACAUGCAAGUCGGGCGGCAGCGCGGGGGCAACCCUGGCGGCGAGCGGCGAACGGGUGAGGAAUGCAUCGGAACGUACCCGAGAGUGGGGGAUAACGCCGCGAAAGCGGCGCUAAUACCGCAUAUUCUCUUUGGAGGAAAGUGGGGGACCGCAAGGCCUCACGCUCACGGAGCGGCCGAUGUCGGAUUAGCUAGUUGGUGGGGUAAAGGCUUACCAAGGCGACGAUCCGUAGCUGGUCUGAGAGGAUGAUCAGCCACACUGGGACUGAGACACGGCCCAGACUCCUACGGGAGGCAGCAGUGGGGAAUUUUGGACAAUGGGGGCAACCCUGAUCCAGCCAUGCCGCGUGCGGGAAGAAGGCCUCGGUUGUAACGCUUUA